AGAAGUUAAAAGAAGUAAAACAAAAAGAAGAACCGACUAGGCUAUGAAGGAAUCCGAUUGCAGAAGAAAAAAGGUAAAAAAAUAAAUGUUAGGUUCGGCCAAGAAGGGAGAAAGUGAAUGGAAAAGAUGCAGAAAAAGAAUGACCCGAAUGGUCAGUUUUAGUUUCGGCACUAGAGAAAAAGGAAAAAAAAUGCAAAACCUCCAAAUUCUAGAGAGAAAAUUCGGCACCUACACACUUACUAAUUGCCUAAAUGCAUAUUCCAAAGUCCCAUCUUAACGGAUUUGGCAACAACCUUAUACAACUCAAACUCCCCUUUUUCCUCCUAAAAUCACUCCUCCAAUCCUGUCCUUGAAAUCUUCCAUGAUCCACUCCUUAAAUCACUCAUUUA
Molecule: long non-coding RNA, 389 nt
Filed under: Gossypium raimondii (Peruvian cotton)
Lineage: Eukaryota; Viridiplantae; Streptophyta; Magnoliopsida; Malvales; Malvaceae
Description: long non-coding RNA (GRAI_LNC001432)
Source: RNAcentral